This 427-nucleotide ribosomal RNA is filed under the name uncultured bacterium. Its description in RNAcentral is "partial 16S ribosomal RNA". It matches the Rfam family "Bacterial small subunit ribosomal RNA", at positions 355 to 774 of the family's 1533-position model. The record is from RNAcentral.
UGGGGAAUAUUGGACAAUGGGCGAAAGCCUGAUCCAGCCAUGCCGCGUGUGUGAAGAAGGUCUUCGGAUUGUAAAGCACUUUAAGUUGGGAGGAAGGGUUGUAGAUUAAUACUCUGCAAUUUUGACGUUACCGACAGAAUAAGCACCGGCUAACUCUGUGCCAGCAGCCGCGGUAAUACAGAGGGUGCAAGCGUUAAUCGGCAUUACUGGGCGUAAAGCGCGCGUAGGUGGUUAGUUAAGUUGGAUGUGAAAUCCCCGGGCUCAACCUGGGAACUGCAUUCAAAACUGACUGACUAGAGUAUGGUAGAGGGUGGUGGAAUUUCCUGUGUAGCGGUGAAAUGCGUAGAUAUAGGAAGGAACACCAGUGGCGAAGGCGACCACCUGGACUGAUACUGACACUGAGGUGCGAAAGCGUGGGGAGCAAACA